GACGAACGCUGGCGGCGUGCUUAACACAUGCAAGUCGAACGGAAAGGCCCUGCUUUUGUGGGGUGCUCGAGUGGCGAACGGGUGAGUAACACGUGAGUAACCUGCCCUUGACUUUGGGAUAACUUCAGGAAACUGGGGCUAAUACCGGAUAGGAGCUCCUGCUGCAUGGUGGGGGUUGGAAAGUUUCGGCGGUUGGGGAUGGACUCGCGGCUUAUCAGCUUGUUGGUGGGGUAGUGACUUACCAAGGCUUUGACGGGUAGCCGGCCUGAGAGGGUGACCGGCCACAUUGGGACUGAGAUACGGCCCAGACUCCUACGGGAGGCAGCAGUGGGGAAUAUUGCACAAUGGGCGGAAGCCUGAUGCAGCAACGCCGCGUGCGGGAUGACGGCCUUCGGGCUGUAAACCGCUUUCGCCUGUGACGAAGCGUGAGUGACGGUAAUGGGUAAAGAAGCACCGGCUAACUACGUG
Molecule: ribosomal RNA, 468 nt
Filed under: uncultured bacterium
Lineage: Bacteria
Description: partial 16S ribosomal RNA
Rfam family: Bacterial small subunit ribosomal RNA
Source: RNAcentral